This 327-nucleotide unclassified non-coding RNA is filed under the name soil metagenome. RNAcentral describes it as "partial contains 5.8S ribosomal RNA, internal transcribed spacer 2, and large subunit ribosomal RNA". The stretch from base 1 to 120 matches the Rfam family "5.8S ribosomal RNA", at positions 35 to 154 of the family's 154-position model. The record is from RNAcentral.
GAUGAAGAACGUAGCGAAAUGCGAUAAGUAAUGUGAAUUGCAGAAUUCAGUGAAUCAUCGAAUCUUUGAACGCACAUUGUGCCCCUUGGUAUUCCGAGGGGCAUGCCUGUUCGAGCGUCAUUAUAACCCCUCAAGCUCAGCUUGGUGUUGGGGCCUGCCGCACGGGCAGCCCUUAAAAUCAGUGGCGGUGCCAUCUGGCUCUAAGCGUAGUAAUUCUUCUCGCUAUAGAGUCCCGGUGGAUGCUUGCCAUUAACCCCCAAUUUUCUAUGGUUGACCUCGGAUCAGGUAGGGAUACCCGCUGAACUUAAGCAUAUCAAAAGCGGAGGA